AUGCAGGAGAGCAGCUAGGUUUACUGCAUACCUUUAUCUACGAGGAAAACAGACUGUUGAAGAAGGAUUAAAGAAUCAAGCUAAUCAACAAUCCUUCGGAGUUCAGAA
This is a long non-coding RNA of Eurytemora carolleeae, 108 nucleotides long. RefSeq lists it as uncharacterized. The transcript has 2 exons. The record is from RefSeq and is a predicted model, not a curated record. NCBI's taxonomy places the organism in Eukaryota, Metazoa, Arthropoda, Copepoda, Calanoida, Temoridae.